Syzygium oleosum is the source of this 1222-nucleotide long non-coding RNA. RefSeq lists it as uncharacterized. The transcript is spliced from 2 exons. Lineage: Eukaryota; Viridiplantae; Streptophyta; Magnoliopsida; Myrtales; Myrtaceae. The record is from RefSeq and is a predicted model, not a curated record.
AAUUCCCGUAGGAGAGAAAAGUACAAACAGCAAACUCACCUUCACAAUGAAUCUUCUAACUGAAACAGUUCGUUUUUGUCCAAUGCGGUGAAUUCUCAUGAUUGCUUGCUCUUCUACGGCUGGGUUCCACCAUGGAUCCUACAUGUAUGAGCAAGAUUAAUUUGUAUAGAAUGACUGGUUCAUAGAUUUUCUAAUUGUAGCGGGUGUGCCAAGUAGAUGAAAGCUAUCACGAAACGUACCAUGAGAAAGACAUGAGAGGCAGCAGUUAAGUUCAAGCCUACCCCACCAGCUCUAAGAGACAUCAGAAGUAUCUGAAGUUUAUGAGCAAGCAAAGGAACCGGAAUCAAUACAAACAAUUGGUCAAGUGUCACAGCAGGAUGAUCACAUGGUGUGUGUAUUAAUCAGUCUUACCAUUUUGUCAUUUGUCUCAUUGAACUCCUUCAAGAUCCUCUCCCUUUGCUUCUGCGCCAGUUUCCCAUCAAAUCUCAGAGCCCGACUGCCGAAUAUUUUCCAGGCAAUCUAAAAGCUUCGACACCUUUGAAGAUUCCUUCCAGUUCUUUUCAACAUCAACUCUGAACUGGCUUUCUGUAGGGCACGUAAUGAGAUCGUUUUUCCUCAGCGUUUGGCGACAGAUUGGGCACAGGCCAGAGCUAUGUGUAAGCCAGCUUGACAAAAGGCAUUCCCUGCACAUCCUAUGAGCACAAGGUGUGAGCACAGGGUCAUCUGCUGACUCCAGGCAAAUUGGGCACUCUGUAUUUUCGCCCCGUCGGAUGCCGUCAACUACCUCUUCAACAUAGGCUCUAGACGGGACUAUCUGAUUACAGGAGGCAGAAUGGGGAUUCAUAUCAAGGAACUUUCUUGCAAGCUUGUUCAAAUCUGCAUACUGCUGGGAAUCACUUCGGCUGUGCAUCCAAAGGCAUGUCAAGAAAAAAUCUUCACGAACAAACCAACAAGAAGGAAAACUUUUUGAGUCCAUCGAUAGUUUGAUACCUCAUGACAAGGAAUGGAUGGUUGCAGCACUGCCUCAAUCGAAGUAGAAGUUCAAGGAUAGAUGCGAAAUUGUGAAGAACCUUGCCCUGUGCUACAAAUUGAUCAAAUCGUACCUGUUUUGAUUUUGCACAAGAAUGUUAGCUGCAUCAUUAAGAGAGAAUACUCUCGCUAAAUGUGUCUCUAGAAGAAACCGCUGGCACUAAAAUAAUAGUUCAAUACUUGGAUCGAAUCA